RNAcentral lists this ribosomal RNA (402 nucleotides) under uncultured bacterium. Its description in RNAcentral is "bacterial SSU rRNA". It matches the Rfam family "Bacterial small subunit ribosomal RNA", at positions 355 to 774 of the family's 1533-position model. The record is from RNAcentral.
UGGGGAAUAUUGGACAAUGGGGGCAACCCUGAUCCAGCCAUGCCGCGUGAGUGAUGAAGGCCUUCGGGUUGUAAAGCUCUUUUGGCGGGGACGAUGAUGACGGUACCCGCAGAAUAAGCCCCGGCUAACUUCGUGCCAGCAGCCGCGGUAAGACGAAGGGGGCAAGCGUUGUUCGGAAUUACUGGGCGUAAAGCGAGUGUAGGUGGUUGUCAUAGUCAGGUGUGAAAGCCUUGAGCUCAACUCAAGAAAUGCACUUGAUACUGGGCGACUAGAGGACCGGAGAGGAUAGUGGAAUUCCCAGUGUAGUGGUGAAAUACGUAGAGAUUGGGAAGAACACCAGUGGCGAAGGCGGCUAUCUGGACGGUUUCUGACACUAAGACUCGAAAGCGUGGGGAGCAAACA